UCCACUUUCUAAGUUUCAAGACCGUUUUCAUCACCGACCAACAACAUGCUGCUGACUCUCUGCCCUCUCAUCGCCGCUCUAGCAUGUGUGAGCGGUGUGACGGUGUUAACACAGCAGCCUCUGGUUAUGUCCAUGGGGAGAGGGGAGACAGCCAGCAUGGACUGUAACCUGGGAACUGUUACUAACAGUGAGGUUCGUUGGUAUAAACAGAUUCCAGGAGGGGUUCCUCAGUUUGUCUUAUAUUUCAUGUACAGCUCUAGCAGUCCAACCUAUGGCUCUGGUGUCUCCUCAUCAAAGUUCACAUGUACUCAUCAGUCACAAUCAGAUUAUCGUUUGAUAAUCAAGAACGUGGAGGAGGGAGACUCAGCAGACUAUUACUGUCAAACAUGGGACAACUCUGUUAAUAACUGGGUAUCACAGUGA
This is a non-coding RNA of Stegastes partitus (bicolor damselfish), 423 nucleotides long. The record is from the annotation of a RefSeq genome assembly. Lineage: Eukaryota; Metazoa; Chordata; Actinopteri; Pomacentridae.